GAACGAUCUCACAUGAAAGAUUUACACCAUUGCUCUGUAAUGGCUGCUGUAAGCAAUGGCUACGUCUUCUGAGGGGAGGGACGUGGGCACGCAUUCAACGCGCAAAGUAGAGGUGCUGUGAUGGAGCCUGUGUUCCUGUCGGUGUCGCUAUGAGAGGAGAGAGGAGUUGCAAUGAUUUCAGAGCUUCUAGCUGAUUAUCUGGACACAACUGUGCUAACUAAUACCUUGUACAAAUGGUCCCAUACUGAGAGGGCACUGAACCAAAUUGGACCUUCCUGUGCUUUUAACCUGACAGGAAAGAUCUCUCACAGAUGUCUCAUUCAACCUCACACCUCAUACCUCAUCUUGCCUUGCUGUAGUGAGCAAAUCAACACUCCUCAUCUUGCCUUGCUGUAG
Molecule: long non-coding RNA, 396 nt
Organism: Protopterus annectens (West African lungfish)
Lineage: Eukaryota; Metazoa; Chordata; Ceratodontiformes; Protopteridae
Exons: 3
Source: RefSeq, a predicted model, not a curated record